UCGAGGAUCUUCGGCAAUGGGCGCAAGCCUGACCGAGCGACGCCGCGUGCGCGAAGAAGGCCUUCGGGUUGUAAAGCGCUGUCGAGGGGGAGAAAGCCCGCAAGGGUUGAUCGACCCCUGGAGGAAGCACGGGCUAAGUUCGUGCCAGCAGCCGCGGUAAGACGAACCGUGCGAACGUUGUUCGGAUUCACUGGGCUUAAAGGGCGCGUAGGCGGGCGACCAAGUCGGUGGUGAAAUCUUUCGGCCCAACCGGAAAACCGCCUCCGAUACUGGUCGUCUCGAGGGGGAUAGGGGCAUGCGGAACUUCGGGUGGAGCGGUGAAAUGCGUAGAUAUCCGAAGGAACGCCGGUGGCGAAAGCGGCGUGCUGGAUCCCUUCUGACGCUGAGGCGCGAAAGCCAGGGGAGCGAACGGGAUUAGAUACCCCCGUAGUCC
Molecule: ribosomal RNA, 433 nt
Filed under: uncultured bacterium
Lineage: Bacteria
Description: bacterial SSU rRNA
Rfam family: Bacterial small subunit ribosomal RNA
Source: RNAcentral